RNAcentral lists this long non-coding RNA (1250 nucleotides) under Lonchura striata (white-rumped munia). Its description in RNAcentral is "domestica (Bengalese finch) lncRNA (ENSLSDG00000017284.1)". The record is from RNAcentral. Lineage: Eukaryota; Metazoa; Chordata; Aves; Passeriformes; Estrildidae.
UCUUAAUGAUCAUAGGCAUAGCAACCCAUUUGGACCCUUGCAAUGGCAUUGGCCUGGAUGCUGCUCCUGGCAAGAUCACUCACCACUGUGAGCUGUGCGGUGGUGUGUUUUUCUUUCAUUUGAUAUUUGUUUAAUAUCUGUUUCCCCCCCCCAACCCCCCUUUCCCUGCCCCUUUCCCUAGAACCUUCCCUGUCAUUCAUUCUAGCCCCCUCCUCAGCUUCCAGAUGUUAGUUCUGCCCUAAACUCCUCCCCUGCUAUUCCCUCAUUGGUUACUGUUCCUACACCCGUCCUCCUGAGUUCUGUAUAAAACCUUUGCCCCCCCGCCCGCCGGGGUCUUGGGGCUCAUGGAAUAAAACCAUCUCGUUCCCCCCCCAAGUCCCGUGUCGCCUUCGUCUGUCCCCGCGCGCCACGAACUGAAACUGCAGAGCUUGCGGGGGAAAGCGGCCGCCCGUUCUCUUCCCUCACCGCCCAGCACGGCACCGCUCGGAGUGCCGCGGCGAGGAGCGCAUGCCGCGCCACAACAAAUGGUAGCAGAGGAUGGUUCCCUCCUUCGUCUUGUAAAAAAAACGGGCAAAUUUGUGGGGGUGCCCGCCUCACAGAAGAAGAAGGAGGGAAGAGGAACAUCUACGGCCGUAAAAGCUCUGCCUGAUGCUAUGAGGAGCUGAGCGCCGAGCGAAAAAGAUUGAGGCUCCGGGACCUCUUUGUUCUCGCCAUCUUCCCGCCCGGGAGCAGCCGCGCUGCACGGGCAGCCGGGCUGCAGAGCUUUUUGGCGGGCAGACUUACCCGAGAACACAGAGGGCGGUUUUGGCAGCGGCUCGGGGGAGCCUGAAGAGGGGCUGACCGAGAAGAGGUUCAUUCCUCGGUCAGCAUCUGCAGCGAGACCACCGGAGGCUGAUAGUGGCCGAAACCAAGGCUUCGGGGACGAGUCUUGGUUUAACGGGAACACCCAGGCUUCCGGAAGGGCCAAAACCGGGAAGGAACAUCCCCAGUUUUUAGCGCGACUUUUCCAUCGAGUCGAGGAAAAGAUUCAAGCCAUCUCCGUCCGAGCCUGCAAGUCCCGUGUCGCCUUCGUCUGUCCCCGCGCGCCACGAACUGAACUGCAGAGCUUGCGGGGGAAAGCGGCCGCCCGUUCUCUUCCCUCACCGCCCAGCACGGCACCGCUCGGGGUGCCGCGGCGAGGAGCGCAUGCCGCGCCACAACAAAAGCUGUUUAUUAGUUCAGGGUACAAGUGGUUUUAAAGAGCUCUCAUC